UUGGUUUAGGAUUUGGUUAGGGUUUAGGGUUUGAUUAGAGUUUGAUUUAGGAUUAGGAUUUGAUUAGGGUUUGAUUAGAGUUUGAUUUAGGAUUAGGAUUUGAUUAGGAUUUGAUUAGGAUUUGAUUUAGAGUCAGGAUUUGGUUAGGAUUUGAAUUAGGGUUAAGAUUUGGUUAGGAUUUGAUUUAAGAUUAGGAUUUGGUUUAAGAUUUAAGAUUUGCUUAGGGCUUGAUUUAGAAUUAAGGUUUGAUUUAGGAUUUAGAAUUUGAUUAGGAUUUGAUUUAGAGUUAGGAUUUAAUUAGGAUUUAGUUAGGAUUCGGUUAAGAUUUAGGAUUUGAUUUAGGGUUGAUUAAGAUUUGAUUUAGGAUUUAGGAUUUGAUUUAAGGUUGGUUAAGAUUUGAUUUAGGAUUUAAGAUUUGGUUAGGGUUUGAUUUAGGGUUUAGAAUUUUAUUUGAGUUUGUUUAGGAUUUAAGAUUUAAAUAGUUUUUUGCCUAAAGAUUGAAUGAAGUCCAAUAGGAUUUUAACUAGGAUUAAAUUAAGAUUGAAUUGAGAUGUAUUUGAGAUAUAUUUGUGAUCAUUCUAAUAUUGCUUUAAGAUUUCUUAUUAUUUCUUUGUAAUUCCUUUGAGAUUUAUUUGAAUUUGAUUAAAGCUUACUUAGCAUUGUUAUGGUCUAAUUAGAGUUUAGUUAGUAUUCUAUCAAAAUUAGGAUUUUGUUGUUGCAAUUUCCAUUCUACCUUCUACAACUAGGUGCUCGGAGCAUUCUCAAGCAAGACUUCUCGUAUUAUAACAAUGUCUAGUCUUUUCUUGUUCAA
RNAcentral lists this long non-coding RNA (811 nucleotides) under Physcomitrium patens. RNAcentral's name for it is "long non-coding RNA (PPAT_LNC005899)". Lineage: Eukaryota; Viridiplantae; Streptophyta; Bryopsida; Funariales; Funariaceae. The record is from RNAcentral.